RNAcentral lists this transfer RNA (67 nucleotides) under Agyrtodes labralis. Its description in RNAcentral is "tRNA-Ser". The record is from RNAcentral. Lineage: Eukaryota; Metazoa; Arthropoda; Insecta; Coleoptera; Leiodidae.
GAAUUAUGUGAUUCAAGAUUAAGCUUCUAACUUAAAUCUUUAAUAGCGAACCUCUAUUAAUAAUUCU